RNAcentral lists this small RNA (27 nucleotides) under Bombyx mori (domestic silkworm). RNAcentral's name for it is "ovarian small RNA-36477". Lineage: Eukaryota; Metazoa; Arthropoda; Insecta; Lepidoptera; Bombycidae. The record is from RNAcentral.
UUACCGAAACCAAAAAGCUCCGAUGUG